GGGGGUGUACUGGUUUCGACNNNNNNNNNNUUGUGGGCGGUCAGGUAAGCGAGCCGUGGACCCGAGCCACGUUAAAAUCGGGAAAUUAAAAAUUAACUGACAAUAACGAUUAUUGCCUCGCGGCCUAAUUAGGCUGCGCGUCGGCCCGAUGAUCCCGCUGCAUCGGAAUCCGGCGUCAUUUAGCGGGCCAUGUUCUUGCCUAAGCUUUGCAGCAUGAACACAUAAUGAAGCUACUGAAUCCCUGAGCCUGUUCACGGGCGCUGGGAAGAGGGAAUGUUAAAACAUGAACUGCGCUCGGAGAAAACUUGGCUGUCGCUUUUUCGGACAGGAGUUCGAUUCUCCUCACCUCCACCA
This 354-nucleotide transfer-messenger RNA is filed under the name Faecalibacterium sp. CAG:82-related_59_9. It matches the Rfam family "transfer-messenger RNA". Rfam says of the family: Bacterial tmRNA, also known as 10Sa RNA or SsrA, is named for its dual tRNA and mRNA-like properties. The record is from RNAcentral. Lineage: Bacteria; Bacillati; Bacillota; Clostridia; Eubacteriales; Oscillospiraceae.